RNAcentral lists this ribosomal RNA (330 nucleotides) under Salmonella enterica subsp. enterica serovar Typhimurium. Its description in RNAcentral is "partial 23S ribosomal RNA". It matches the Rfam family "Bacterial large subunit ribosomal RNA", at positions 1285 to 1616 of the family's 2925-position model. The record is from RNAcentral. Lineage: Bacteria; Pseudomonadati; Pseudomonadota; Gammaproteobacteria; Enterobacterales; Enterobacteriaceae.
GAAGUGCGAAUGCUGACAUAAGUAACGAUAAAGCGGGUGAAAAGCCCGCUCGCCGGAAGACCAAGGGUUCCUGUCCAACGUUAAUCGGGGCAGGGUGAGUCGACCCCUAAGGCGAGGCCGAAAGGCGUAGUCGAUGGGAAACGGGUUAAUAUUCCCGUACUUGGUGUUACUGCGAAGGGGGGACGGAGAAGGCUAUGUUGGCCGGGCGACGGUUGUCCCGGUUUAAGCGUGUAGGUGUGUGUUCCAGGUAAAUCCGGUUCACUUUAACACUGAGGCGUGACGACGAGGCACUACGGUGCUGAAGCAACAAAUGCCCUGCUUCCAGGAAAA